CGCUUGCACCGGAAAAACUUAGCGGCGAACGGGUGAGUAACACGUAAAGAACCUGCCUCAUAGACUGGGACAACUAUUGGAAACGAUAGCUAAUACCGGAUAACAGCAUUAACUGCAUGGUUGAUGUUUAAAAGUUGGUUUUGCUAACACUAUGAGAUGGCUUUGCGGUGCAUUAGCUAGUUGGUGGGGUAAAGGCCUACCAAGGCGACGAUGCAUAGCCGACCUGAGAGGGUGAUCGGCCACACUGGGACUGAGACACGGCCCAGACUCC
Molecule: ribosomal RNA, 271 nt
Filed under: uncultured Gemella sp.
Lineage: Bacteria; Bacillati; Bacillota; Bacilli; Caryophanales; Gemellaceae
Description: partial 16S ribosomal RNA
Rfam family: Bacterial small subunit ribosomal RNA
Source: RNAcentral